GCGUUAACGAACGAGACCUUUUCCUACUAAAUAGCCGGAUUAACGCAAGUUGGUCACGGCUUCUUAGAGGGACAAGCUACGCUUAGUGGCUGGAAGUUGGAGGCAAUAACAGGUCUGUGAUGCCCUUAGAUGUUCUGGGCCGCACGCGCGCUACACUGACAUAGGCAGCGAGUAUAUAACCUUGACCGAGAGGUCUGGGUAAUCUUGUGAAACUAUGUCGUGCUUGGGAUAGACCAUUGUAAUUAUUGGUCUUUAACGAGGAAUUCCUAGUAAGCGCGAGUCAUCAGCUCGCGUUGAUUACGUCCCUGCCCUUUGUACACACCGCCCGUCGCUAAUACCGAUUGAAUGGAU
RNAcentral lists this ribosomal RNA (351 nucleotides) under Eukaryota sp. RNAcentral's name for it is "SSU rRNA". It matches the Rfam family "Eukaryotic small subunit ribosomal RNA", at positions 1325 to 1698 of the family's 1831-position model. The record is from RNAcentral.